AUUGAACGCUGGCGGCAGGCCUAACACAUGCAAGUCGAGCGGAUGAAGGGAGCUUGCUCCUGGAUUCAGCGGCGGACGGGUGAGUAAUGCCUAGGAAUCUGCCUGGUAGUGGGGGAUAACGUCCGGAAACGGGCGCUAAUACCGCAUACGUCCUGAGGGAGAAAGUGGGGGAUCUUCGGACCUCACGCUAUCAGAUGAGCCUAGGUCGGAUUAGCUAGUUGGUGGGGUAAAGGCCUACCAAGGCGGCGAUCCGUAACUGGUCUGAGAGGAUGAUCAGUCACACUGGAACUGAGACACGGUCCAGACUCCUACGGGAGGCAGCAGUGGGGAAUAUUGGACAAUGGGCGAAAGCCUGAUACAGCCAUGCCGCGUGUGUGAAGAAGGUCUUCGGAUUGUAAAGCACUUUAAGUUGGGAGGAAGGGCAGUAAGUUAAUACCUUGCUGUUUUGACGUUACCAACAGAAUAAGCACCGGCUAACUUCGUG
RNAcentral lists this ribosomal RNA (484 nucleotides) under uncultured bacterium. Its description in RNAcentral is "partial 16S ribosomal RNA". It matches the Rfam family "Bacterial small subunit ribosomal RNA", at positions 30 to 507 of the family's 1533-position model. The record is from RNAcentral.